This 406-nucleotide ribosomal RNA is filed under the name uncultured prokaryote. Its description in RNAcentral is "bacterial SSU rRNA". It matches the Rfam family "Bacterial small subunit ribosomal RNA", at positions 355 to 776 of the family's 1533-position model. RNAcentral also lists the same sequence under 1 other name. The record is from RNAcentral.
UGGGGGAUAUUGGUCAAUGGGGGAAACCCUGAACCAGCGAUGCCGCGUGAGGGAAGAAGGUCUUCGGAUUGUAAACCUUUGUCUUCGGGGACGAACAAAUGACGGUACCCGAGGAGGAAGCUCCGGCUAACUACGUGCCAGCAGCCGCGGUAAUACGUAGGGAGCAAGCGUUGUCCGGAAUUACUGGGUGUAAAGGGAGCGUAGGCGGGUCGGCAAGUUGAAUGUGAAAUGCAUGGGCUUAACCCAUGAGCUGCGUUCAAAACUGUCGAUCUUGAGUGAAGUAGAGGCAGGCGGAAUUCCUAGUGUAGCGGUGAAAUGCGUAGAUAUUAGGAGGAACACCAGUGGCGAAGGCGGCCUGCUGGGCUUUAACUGACGCUGAGGCUCGAAAGCAUGGGGAGCAAACAGG